Chiroxiphia lanceolata (lance-tailed manakin) is the source of this 6293-nucleotide long non-coding RNA. RefSeq lists it as uncharacterized. The transcript has 2 exons. Lineage: Eukaryota; Metazoa; Chordata; Aves; Passeriformes; Pipridae. The record is from RefSeq and is a predicted model, not a curated record.
GCGGGCGGCCAGGCCACCUGCUCCGGGUCGCGCAGAGACGUCCGGGUGGCACCGGGUGGCCCUCGUGAUGGGAGCGUCCCCGGCGGAAGAAAACCUAGCAUCCCUGAGGGUAGGGCAGGAGAGCGGCUUGGUCUGCGCCGUGCACAGCCGCUGCCCCGGCGGAGUCCCCGAGCGGGUUCCCCGGCUCAUCCCUCCCGUCGAGUCCUUCCAACAGCCACUCUGAAACAACCAGGUUGGAAGCAAGUCCUGCGGGGGCUCUGUCGCUCUCCCGUCCCGGCUCCGUUCGCGGCCAUCUGCCGUGGCCUAAUUCUACUCUGCCGUCUACCAAACGGCAGCCACAGCCAGCCAGGGCAGGGGAUGUUCUCAAACACUAAAUGAGGCAAAACAACUAAGAAACAGCAAUAACUACAAGAACUAUAAAUGAUAACAACACCAUCUGCCUGAAGGUCGUAGAGCUUUGUCGUCUUUCCUAUUGCGCUCAGGAGACAGCACUGACUGCAGUGGGUUUUUUAUCAAAAACUGGAUUGCAAAUUGGACUGAUCACCCUUCUCUGCAAAGGGAUAGAAGAGGAGAAAUCUUACUUUUUCCUCAGCCUCUUCAUUUCCCUGUAGUCAUCCUUAUGCUGUCCAGUAGACAGAUGAAGUACAUGGGCUACUCCAUCCUUUCUCUUCAGCUCAGAGAGCUGAGGAUGAGUUUUUCUCAAGGCACUGCCUGCUCCUGCUGUGCCACAUAGCUUCUCUCAUUUCUUGUUUUUGAGAUGCCUCUUCAUAUAUACACAUCUACCCACACAUACAUAUGCACAUUUGCACAUUUUCUAUGUACCCUCAGAUUGCCCUAAUUUCUAUUUAUAAUUUCUUCUUGUUUAUGUGUUCUUUGUAAGACCCAGUACUUCGCAGGAUCUCAGGACAGCCAUGCAGUAAACAGAGGAAAGUCCAUCUUCGCCUGCUCGUGUGUGGGCCAGGAUGAUGCACAGCCGAGAUUAACCCUCAUACAGGUAGAGAACAGGGAAGUCUUUUAAAUGUGUUGUGUCCUGAGCAACCUGAAGGACUCAGUUAAACUCUUUGUAGGAUUACAAACGUGAACUGACUACCCCUGCACUAAGGCAUUAUCUCCACCACAUCUCAUUCCUUCUUGUUUUCUUGGAAAUCAGCGCUAAAGAUUUGUUAUAAACCUUCUAUACUUUCACAGCAAAAGAAACAUAAAUAUGUAAGUGAACCUGCUACUGCCAAUCUCUCAAUGUAAUUUUAAAAAUAUUUCUUACUGCUUGGAAAGAAAUGGAACUUUGGAAUAGAUGGAGGUUCUCUUGGAAAGCUUUCAGAAACAGGGAACCUUCCUCCUUUCUAAACACAGUAGCAAUAAUAAUGGUGGUGACGAUGAUGAUGGAGCACAUAAAAAAUGGAUGAAAGGAAGGUCUGAAGACCCAGCUGAUGAACUAUGCCAUCUAGAGAGAGCCAUGUGUUUCCCCUUCCGAUGUCACAUCUCUGCCGUAGGUUGAGGUUAUGGUGGCGGCAUCUGAAAGUAACCUGCACUUAAUAUUCAUCACUUGCCUUCUUACUCCAAGAACAGAACAAAAACCCUGCUCUCAGCAAUUUUUCUUGGGGGUAGUCUGAUUUCCAAGGCUCCUCACGGAGAGGAGCAGGGAGCACUGCCUGCCAGCCUCUCCUUGAGUUAGAAGAACACACCCACGCCCUCCCACUACUCCCUCUCCCUUUUUUUUUUUUUAAAUUGUUUUUCCUUUUUCCCUCCUUAAGCGACGCCUGCCCGGAGCCAGAGGGGCAGAGUUUGGCCCCGGGACGGCCGCAGGACGCCCCCGGGCGCUGCCCCGGCGGGGCCGGGCGGGAUGCGGGAAGAUGCGCCCCCUCCGCCGGCACUGCCCCGACCCCUGGCGGCCGCGCACGGCGCAUCGCCCAGUGCAGCGCAAGUCCAGCUCAAGUCUCGCUCAAACCCGGCGCGGCAGAACACGAGAAACUUCCAAGUACGAACCGUUUAGAAGCAAUGUUCCGAAUCAAAAAUGUCAUUCUAAAAUGUUUUGCAGCGUAGAGCGUGAGAAGUGAUCUUUUCAUGCCUUCCCAGUGGGAAUCGAGGCUAUCUGUCUCAUGUAGAUUCAGAUCUGUAGAGUAUCAUCUGUGACACGAAAAUAUGAAGGGAAAUGAGCUACUACCUGCUUACUGCAGCUGUUGAGGCAGUCUGGGGCAUCAGUUUCACUCAGAGGCAAAUGGUCCUACUAUAGCAAGAGGCAGACUCAAGGUAUUGUCCAAUUUACAGACACAGGCCAGUCAUUUUCAAAAAGUUAAAAUUUAGUUUUUGAAUUGGGAUGAUUAAACGCCAAACAUUUCAUUUUGUUUCACUUAUCCUGUACUCAGGGUGGUGGCUAAGAAAGGUGUAGAGCACAGGUAAGUCAGGCAAUAAGCAAAGCAAGCCUUCCAGUAGAACAAGCACUGUCCCACUGUCUCCACCCUGAAGGGCUGUUCAAGCAGCAGGAUCUUCACACUGAGAGAAGCAGAGGAGAAGCAACGUGUCUGGUGCUUCAAGGCCUGGUGCACGGCGAUGACUGCCACAGGGCAGGAAAGUGGAUGAGCCAACAAGUAAGGUAAUACAUGCUCAGCCUACUAAUAUUUGUGGAUAAAAUGAAAAGAGCAGCUGUGACAGGAAAAGUAAAGGUACAGUCUUUAAAUUUUUACCAUCAACACUUCCAAGUAAUCUGCCAGACUGGGUGAAGUCCAUUAAAAAUCAAGGGCACAACUUCUUUCAAAUUAGAAAAAUUCAAAUAUGUCUGACUACUAUUAAAUUGAACAGAGGAAUAAAAAUUAUUAUGUGGCUGUCACUAAUUAAAGCAAUAAUUAGUGAGAUGUUGACCUAUUUUAAAGAUUUAUAGUUCCUCAUCUCUCCUCUGUAGAGGAUUCUAAGGGCCAAUCAGAAUAAAUCAUUUCCUUGAAAAGAGCACCAAAAUCCCAAAAGAAAACAAAAAUCCGUGGGUUUUUCUUCUUUGCAUUUCUUUUGCUCAAUUUCAAACAACUAAAAUGUCAGAUUCCCCACAUUAGUCAGACCGGUGACAUCAGCUAUAGGUUUCAGGUCAUGAGUAUUUAAGAAAUACAUAGAAACCUCUCAGUUAAAAAGAAAGAAGUGUUAAUUUUAUCUUGGUAAGUGUAAAAUCAAAACAAUAUAUGUACCUGUUCAGAUAGGUCUUCUGCACUUAUAUGUUCACAAACUUAAUUUUAGUAAGCUUGACUUUUUAGCAAGAUGUUGCACACUUAUACCAAGAGCCAGGUUUAAACAUGCAUGGUCAAGAUUUGAAGUACAUAGGAUGCAAUACACAUUUCAAAAGGAAUUCCAUCCUUCCCUAAAUGAAGUGUUGAUUUAAGAUGGCGCUGCAGCACAUACUGCAGUCCCCAGUUGUGCUUCAGAUCCAUAGCUACGUACUGGAAUACGAGCCCCGCUAACUGCCAGGACAGGACAAACACUUUGGGACUGCUGAAUCCCUUUGAACUGAAGGUUCAUACUACUAACACAGCCAUGGUCUGACCAAGGUCAGUGUUCACACUACACUAUUAGUGCAGUCAAUUAAAUGCAUCCAAGCGCUUCCUAAUAAUAUACACGCAAUAAAAAUAGAGCAUUAAUCCUACAUAAAGAGAAAUAAUACAUAAUAAUAGCAGAGUCGACCCAGAAACACUUUUCCGUAUCUAUGAAAAAUGUAGGGCUUCUGGAAUACUGUGUGAGAAAGAACACAAUCACUUUACUGAAUGGCAAUAAUAGAAACAAAACAAAUGUUGCUUGAGAACAUGGAACAUCAUGGUCUGGAAUAAAUGAAACCGUUUCAUGUUGUAAGUUAGGACUACAAGUGUCUGGAAACAGAGGGAGGAAGAGGACUUGGGGUAUUAUUUUGUUGCAUAAUAUCUGCAUGCCACAUGCGUGAUAUACACCUGGAAAAAAAAAAAAAGCUAGUGGGAUACUAUUAGAGGAAAUUAUUUUAUGCUAUAGCCCUAGAUGUAGGCAAGUUUUCAUUGGGAUUAUGUCACCCCAUUAAUCGUCAAACAAAAGGCUACUAAGAUAGCAAAGAGGAUGAAGAGUCUCCAGUCAUGAACUGAUGACAAGAACUUGAUUUGUCAGCUCAGCAAAGUGAAGUCAGAGGGGAAGUAUGACAGCUCUUGGCAAAUAUCAGAGGACAAACGAUGCUAGGAUAGGCAAAGAAGUAAUUGUACUACUAGGAUGCUAGCACUAAUGUUACCUUGAAAAAAAAUCCAAACCCCUAACCUAAGCAUAAAGGGAACUAAAUUAAUAAAUAACCUUCUCAUAAGCUGGUGGAAGACAAGAAAAAAAUCAUUUGAAGAGUGAGUAGCUGAAUUCAUUUACUAGGAAGAGUAUUCUGACUGUUUUCUGCUGAAAUCUAAAAAAAAAAAAAAUAGGUCUCAGCCUGGAUCAAGAAAAAUAUUUCUUGUGUAUUUAGGAGCUCAAAAUCUAGGACAAUUUUAAAAUAAGAGCAUGUUUUGAAAGGGAAUUAGAGAAAGAACGAGAACAAAAGAGAAAGUGAAAGAGGAAGAGACAGAAAAAAAAAGGAGAAACAAAGAGAAAUAGGAAGAAAUUGAGAAAAGGAAGGAAGAGAAGUAUUUUCAAAUAAAACAAAAUGUUCACAACAAGGUGUUUUAAUCCAUUAAUUCAAGGUGAAUUUUUGAAUUGGGUAAAUUAACAAAAUGUACAAUUUCGCUGCUUGGUUUCAAUGAGUCAGCAAUUUUUUCUUACACAUAUUAUUAAAAAAUUCUAAGUGCGCUAUACGAACAACCUCUGUUCUUGUUUGAAGUGUUCCUUCUGUCACUAUGCAAAACUUGCAUAAUAAGAUACACUUCAAUAUGUCAAUAAUAUUGUAAGCUUACAGGAACAGAAAAUCCAGGUAUGUUACGGCUGUUCUAAAAUUACUGGAAAUAAAUUCUCUAAAUCAAAGAAUUCAAAAGCUUUUUCUUUUUGUUCAUUUUUCUGAUUUUAAGCAAAGAGAUAAGGAAAAUGCAAAGAUGACUUGUUUACAGGUUUUGUAGAUUGACAGAAGAACAUUUAGCAAGGUUUAUGUUAUACUAACUGCAAGCAAUCAAAGAAACACAGGUCCUGGAUGUUUAUGAUAUAUUGUUUUUGUCUGCAUGGUGAUUUGCAUACAGGCAUAUAGAGAUUAAAAAUAUGGAUAAAUCAAUGCAGCCCAGAUACCAACUAUAUUAACGUUAAUCCAUUUUCAAACAAUUAGCAGUCCAUAAAGACAUGUUACAUCAUGUUAUAAAUUUCAGCAAUAUAUAAACUUCUUUUUUUUUUUUUUAAUUUUCUCUCAACUUUGGAGACAAAGAACACAUCAGAGAAAAGUCAUCUAAGGAUGCAAAAUCUUAAGGAAUCCUAAAUACACGAAAACAAGAAGUUAGAAAUGAAAACACCUGACUGUUUUUACCAUCUUAAACUACAGAAAAACACUGCCACCUUUGCAGAUACAACACAUGAGCCUGCAAGAUGAAGGCUAUUCUGUGGCUCACGUGUGGAUGUGAAGGAACAAAGACUACCCAGCUCACCUGCAUGGAAACUAUGAAACUACCUGGAAAAUUUGGGGAAUACUGAGCUGAGCAUUUAUUGGGAAGACUGCCACUGAUUCUGAGUAGAAAUGAAGAAUGAGUUUCUAUUCAAACUUAAGUGAAGAGAAAUAAUUCUGCAACCUCAGAAGUUUAUAGAGCAAUAUGGAGAAGCACAGAAAGGAGACAAAUAGUUCAAAGUACAAUAGAACGGUGAAAAGUACUUUUUUUAAAAUUUAUAAUGCAUUUUCCUCUGUUGCCUGUGCUCAUCCUUUUGUGUUCAGCUUAAGACAGUUGUGCAAACAAGCUUCUUUAACAUUUUGUGGGCAAACACAAAAAUCAAUAGAUUUUUAUGUCUCCACAUACACGGGGUUUGUUCAAUUUAUUCAAGCACUCACCCUCUCAGAAAGUAAGAACAAUUUUGUCCAGCAAGCAAGAACUACAAACAAGUCCCAAGUGAUUAAGGGAUGCCUUUGAAGAACCUUUUUCUGGUGAAAACUUGUCAGCAGAAGCUGUGUUUGUUGGAUUCUUGACCGCAGGAUAUUUCUUCCUUGAGCCGCAUGACGUAGGAUGAAGGGCAGAGGAGACACUGAUUUGGGAUAAACCUGGAGGACUGGGACUGCAGUUCCAGCCCAAAGCCUAACUUGAAGGAGGGGAUAUGAGUCUGAUAAGGAACAGGAGGACAAAUCUUUCCUUCUUCUUAUAUGUGCCCAGAUCUGGGAUUUAGAAAGACCAAUAAAGGCAAGCAGUAGCUAA